AUUUAUAUAAUAUAUAUAUAGU
This 22-nucleotide transfer RNA is filed under the name Eurema mandarina. RNAcentral's name for it is "partial tRNA-Gly". The record is from RNAcentral. Lineage: Eukaryota; Metazoa; Arthropoda; Insecta; Lepidoptera; Pieridae.